GCUCAAACCAAGGAGAGCACGACAGAGGACCAAGAAUGAUAGGAUCUGUCGCAACUCUCAAGAUCAAGCUGGAGAAAGAGAGAAACCUGAAGAAACAACUGUCAUCUGGGCUAAACACCAGGUUGACCAAGAGAAACCACUCAGCUAACGUUAAAACUGCUAACACUGCUGAGAGAAGGGUGCAGGAAGAACAAGCUCCUAAAGAGAACUCAAGGAAAGACUGAAGUCUUCUCUACAGGCUUUUCAAGUGAGGUGCAAGCCACACUGGGUGCUCCAGAAAGGCUGGGGACAAAUCAACAUGGAUGACUCAGGCCGGAGAGGAUCUUCGGCUUACUGAACCAGCCAGUGAAAAGGUGAAUAUACUCUGGCUGAGGAUACUCUGGCUGAGGAGGAUCUUCACCCUGGUGAACCAGAUCAUCAGACUGCUGAACCAGCAAGCUGGGUUGUGGCUUAUGGCCAGAUGUGGCGGGAAAUGACGAAGCAAGAUGGUCCUGUGCUUUGCAGCAACAUGCCCAUCAUAUAAACCGAAUGGGCCCUUGAACACCUGAUGGAGGAGCAGAGGUCAUCAGCGAACAAAGAGGGACCAGUCAGUGAAAGGGCAAACAUGGCGGAGAAAACUGAGGCCGGAGAGGAUGUGUGGCCUGAUAA
Long non-coding RNA from Alosa sapidissima (American shad), 648 nucleotides. RefSeq lists it as uncharacterized. The transcript is spliced from 3 exons. The record is from RefSeq and is a predicted model, not a curated record. Lineage: Eukaryota; Metazoa; Chordata; Actinopteri; Clupeiformes; Clupeidae.